GACGAACGCUGGCGGCGUGCCUAAUACAUGCAAGUAGAACGCACAGUUUAUACCGUAGCUUGCUACACCAUAGACUGUGAGUUGCGAACGGGUGAGUAACGCGUAGGUAACCUGCCUGGUAGCGGGGGAUAACUAUUGGAAACGAUAGCUAAUACCGCAUAAUAUUGAUUAUUGCAUGAUAAUUGAUUGAAAGAUGCUAUUGCAUCACUACCAGAUGGACCUGCGUUGUAUUAGCUAGUAGGUGAGGUAACGGCUCACCUAGGCGACGAUACAUAGCCGACCUGAGAGGGUGAUCGGCCACACUGGGACUGAGACACGGCCCAGACUCCUGCGGGAGGCAGCAGUAGGGAAUCUUCGGCAAUGGACGAAAGUCUGACCGAGCAACGCCGCGUGAGUGAAGAAGGUUUUCGGAUCGUAAAGCUCUGUUGUAAGAGAAGAACGGGUGUGAGAGUGGAAAGUUCACACUGUGACGGUAUCUUACCAGAAAGGGACGGCUAACUACGUG
Molecule: ribosomal RNA, 505 nt
Filed under: uncultured bacterium
Lineage: Bacteria
Description: partial 16S ribosomal RNA
Rfam family: Bacterial small subunit ribosomal RNA
Source: RNAcentral